AAUAUUGGACAAUGGGGGAAACCCUGAUGCAGCGACGCCGCGUGAGCGAAGAAGGCCUNCGGGUCNUNAAGCACGUUUCUAAGGGNCGAUACGGACGGUACCUUAGGAGGAAGCCCCGCCUAACUGCGGGCCAGCAGCCGCGGUAAUACGUAGGUGGCGAGCGUUAUCCGGAAUUUUUGGGCGUAAAUGGUGCGUAGGCGGCUUUUUAAGUCAGGUGUGAAAGGCUACGGCUUAACCGUAGUGAGCAUUUGAAACUAAAAGGGUUGAGUGCAGGAGAGGAGAGUGGAAUUCCUAGUGUAGCGGUGAAAUGCGUAGAUAUUAGGAGGAACACCAGUGGCGAAGACGACUCUCUGGACUGCAACUGACGCUGAGGCACGAAAGCGUGGGGAGCGAAC
RNAcentral lists this ribosomal RNA (395 nucleotides) under uncultured bacterium. RNAcentral's name for it is "partial 16S ribosomal RNA". It matches the Rfam family "Bacterial small subunit ribosomal RNA", at positions 360 to 773 of the family's 1533-position model. The record is from RNAcentral.